AUGUACGUUGUCCGGCUCACCAAACUAGAUGUUAGCGGGGUGGAUGUCAAGAUCCCGUACACGCUGCACGCCGGAAACGCGUUGUUCGUGCUCGGCACCAUGUUCACCUACCUGAAGCCGGAGACCUAUACGGUUCUUCGUGAGCAGUUCAAGUCGCAGAUGACGGAGUACCGCGUGGCGCCGUCGAUGGGCGGCCUCGACACCUGCUACAACUUCACUGGUCUGACGAGAAUGAGUAUGCCAUCCAUCACACUAUGGUUCGAAGGAUGGGCAUAUAUUGUCCCCGGCAUGGAACAAAUGAUGUAUUUUGGGCGUCGGGGAGAUAUCUUCUCCGUUGGGUGCCUCGCAUUUGCUGCGGCAUCGGACUUACCUCCAGGGAUCACUGCAGUCAUCGGCACCCUGCUGCAGGAGAGGACAGAGGUGGUGUAUGACGUUCAUGGAGGGAAGAUGGGGUUUUCCCAUAAACAAUGCUGGUGA
Molecule: ribosomal RNA, 477 nt
Filed under: Triticum aestivum (bread wheat)
Lineage: Eukaryota; Viridiplantae; Streptophyta; Magnoliopsida; Poales; Poaceae
Description: partial small subunit ribosomal RNA
Source: RNAcentral